UGCUGGGCUGCUUGGAUGCAGGCACAGAGCAACAGAGAGCUGCGUUCAUGGGAUGGAGCUUAGAAAGAUGGAGGCGACAGAGGAACAAGGAGGUCCGGGGGAGCAGAUGGGAGUAGAGAAAGGCAGGGCAUGGAAGGGAGUGCACAAAUACUGCUCAUGAGUUGCUCGCUGGAUAGUGAGGGAAGGAAAGAAAGGGGAAGGUUGACGGCUCAGGAGAUGGUGGAGGACAGGCGGUGCCGGGGAUGCUGAGGGAGGGCUGGAGUGGGAGCAGAGGAUAAACCCCCGGCAGUGGGGGAGGUGACAGUCACGCGGAGGAGCGCUCGCAUUAGAAGCUUUGGAGGAGUAGAGUGACAGGAUGCUUAUGGAGGUGACAUAGGCUGACGUCUGGAUGCCAUCCAGCCCAGCACCUGGGAAGAUGAGAAUAAGAGUGGAGAAUCCACAGCUGAUGACAGCAAGGGUGUGGACUUGUUGCAAGGAAGGCCAGGCUGUCCACGCGACUCAGCAGCUGCACAACGUGACCAACAGCCGAUGAGAAGAAACCCUGGACGUCCCCCUCUAGAACAACCAGUGGACGUUUCCCACAUUUGUUGUACUUAUUAUUUAAUAUUAUUAUUAUUAUUGGCAGUAGUGGUAGCAGCAGUAGUCUUUAUAAAAACCUUUGAGAGUAAACUGCAGACUUCAUGAUGCUUUACCUCUUAAAUUCGUAUGUCUCCUAAUAGCAAAGACAUUCUUUCCCACAGUAAAGUGACCAAAUCUGGGAAAUUUAACAAUGAUACAAUAUUAUUACGUAAUUCACAGUCUAUAUUCAAAUUUGCCAAUUGUCCCAAUGAUGUUCUUUAUAACAUUUUUUUUUCCAAUUCAGGAUCACAUAUAAUUGUCAUGUGCUUUUUUGCCUUAUACAAGAAAUAUUUGUCUAUUCCAGUGUCAC
This 928-nucleotide long non-coding RNA is filed under the name Equus caballus (horse). RNAcentral's name for it is "lncRNA (ENSECAG00000032862.3)". Lineage: Eukaryota; Metazoa; Chordata; Mammalia; Perissodactyla; Equidae. The record is from RNAcentral.